AGAGCCCUGAGGAGAGGCAGGGGAUGGCUCAACUGAGUGAGCACCCCUGAAGCUGAUGCUAGAGGCGUGGGAAUGUGGGGGGCUCGGUGAAGGUGAUGACACUCCAUCAGGAGCUCCUGGAUCCAGUGUAGCCUGUGGAUUUCAUCUGAAAGUGAUGGGAGCCCUUGGGAGGGGACAUGAGUGGCAAGGUCCCUUGGCUGCGAGGCUGCCAGGAACACUCAUGUCCCCCAUGGGGCCACUCUCAUCAAGGCCAGGCUGGCGGGAGGAGACCAAGGCCACAUGGGCGGUCAGCCUCCAAGCAGCGGGGCAGCCAGGGGCCCAGGCCAGCUGCUCACCCGGAGGCGGGAGGGCCGUGGUCAGAGGGUGCUGGGUACUGAGUGCUGGGUGCUACCCGAAUACUGCAGAGUCCUCCUGGAGGAGUCUCCUGAGAGCCGAGCGUGCAGUUCUGGGAACUGCCCAGGUGGUGGGCACAGCUGUGCUCCAGGAACUCAUUCCUUGACAGAAAGCACACCCAAGCCCUAAAUCCUUUUUAAAAAAAAGUCGAAAAACACACAGGAGCUGAAAAUGAGAAGAAUUCUGCUGAAACGGCCAGUGCACCGCCAAAGGACGGCCUCCCUGAAGGCCACACGGAGGGCUCUGGGCAAGCCAGCAGGACUCUGCCUGAGGGUGCCCUUGCCUACAGCCACCACCCCUCUGAGCCUGGCACUAUCAGCCCUGCUCACGUGCCAGGUUCCCGGCUGUUGGCAUCAUGAGGCCCACUGUGUUGGAGGGUGAGGUGCCACCUGGCCUUGCCGUCCUGGGAUCCACUGUCUCCCAUGGGCAUAGGGAGACCAGCUUCCAGCAGCAUCGCCCACUGUCAGCAGGGCCACGGAGAGGACACUAGAGCCUGUCACCUCGGGAGUGUCCCCUUGGGCAGCCAGGGUGGGUUCUGGGGUCGCAGGUGACAGCCCGCACGGCACCUCUGGGUCUUCCUCAGCCCUGGGAGGGGUCCAGCAUCUGAGUUCUUGGGGGUGGGUCCUGAUGAGAGGAUGGGGGAAGGGCAGGACUGUGUGCCUGGGCCUGGGCUGUGUGAUCCUGAGCUGGGCUCCGCCUGCAUCGCUCGCAGGCGAUGGUCACUGUGCUCGUUUGGUCUCGGCAGACCCUGGACCCGCCCUCGCAGACUAAGGAGCAAGCACGACCAGGCUGUGGGGUCCCCGAAGGACACUAAUGAGACGCACCUGUGGAAGUCCAGCGGGCCCUUCAGGCGGGGUCCUGAGUCCUGCCCACGUCCGCCCUCUCUGGGGUUAAGAUGCAGACGGUGGAAGCAGGACGCUGAACCUCUCAGCUCCAGCUUCCUGCGGACGUCCGGCUGCUCCCAUGUCGUUGCUGACUUCUUCCUCUCUGAUGGGGAUGCCCGGAGAGCGGGCUUCCCUGUACAGCCUGACCGGACUGCGGAAACCGCUGGGGCCCAUCUGUCGCCAGGGUGCUGGUGACCUGUGAGCGAGGUCCAGCCCCGCCACCACCGAGGCCUGGGAGAGAGGCAGGCCUGGCUCAGGGUAUUGAGUCGCAGCAUUGAAGGCA
RNAcentral lists this long non-coding RNA (1560 nucleotides) under Equus caballus (horse). RNAcentral describes it as "lncRNA (ENSECAG00000052042.1)". Lineage: Eukaryota; Metazoa; Chordata; Mammalia; Perissodactyla; Equidae. The record is from RNAcentral.